This 90-nucleotide transfer RNA is filed under the name Acidobacteriota bacterium. RNAcentral's name for it is "Acidobacteria bacterium (groundwater metagenome) tRNA-Ser". It matches the Rfam family "tRNA". Rfam says of the family: Transfer RNA (tRNA) molecules are approximately 80 nucleotides in length. Lineage: Bacteria; Pseudomonadati; Acidobacteriota. The record is from RNAcentral.
GGAGGGGUGCCAGAGCGGUUGAAUGGGCCCGCCUCGAAAGCGGGUAGGCCUUUACGGGCCUCGUGGGUUCGAAUCCCACCCCCUCCGCCA